Molecule: long non-coding RNA, 4696 nt
Filed under: Linum usitatissimum (flax)
Lineage: Eukaryota; Viridiplantae; Streptophyta; Magnoliopsida; Malpighiales; Linaceae
Description: long non-coding RNA (LUSI_LNC004134)
Source: RNAcentral
AUCUACGGCAGCAGCGACAGCUACGAGCACUUCUUCACUAUAACAAGGUAGCUACAAGGUGAUCCGAGCCGAUCCAAAAAUAGUGUCUCUCAAGUGUUUCCCAACCCCGAAACAACUACUCACUAUUUUAUCGCUCACAAGAAAGUAUUCCUACCACGGUAAAACAUUUACCGGGACUUUCUACCGCUCACCUAUCUACCCAAUUGAGAUAACUUAUCUCAAUUAUUAAACAAGUGAAAAUUGCUACACUACAACACUUAGAGAAGUGAGAAAGGAAGAAGAGAGGGAUGAUUGAAAUGGGAUGCACUAGCUUCCCUUUUAUACUAGAAAUGUAGGGAGACCAAUUGAAAGCAAUUGGUUGUGGCAUCCAAUUAGUUGAAUCCCCAACUAAUUUCCAUGUGCACUAAAUUGGAGGUGGGGGUUAAUAUUGGUGGGAAUUCAAUUAGUUGGUUAGAGAUCCAACUAAUUUUGUGGUGCUUUAAUAUUGGUGGUACAUAUUUUUGUUGCACAUCAAUUAUCCGGGACCAACAAUUCUCCCCCUCCCGGCUAAUUAAGACUCUCGGUCAUCCCUGCUGCUGAUCGACAAUACUCAAACUUCUCUCUUAGAAGACUCUUCGUGCACAUGUCAGAUCCAUUCUCAUCAGUAUGGAUCUUCUCGAGUUGUAGUUGCUUCGACUCCACCACAUCUCGAAUCCAAUGAUAUCGAACAUCGAUAUGUUUGGACCUAGAAUGAAACGUCGAAUUCUUCGCAAGGUGUAUGGCGCUCUGACUGUCACAGAACAACUGCGGUCGUUCCUGUUGGAACCCAAGUUCACUCAAGAACUUCUUCAUCCACAACAGCUCCUUGCUAGCUUCCGUUGCGGCAAUGAACUCAGCUUCAAUAGUGGAAAAAGCUACACACUUUUGUAGCCUUGACUGCCAAGAAACAGCUCCCCCUGAAAAUGUAAUCAGGUAUCCAGAAGUGGACCUCCGUGUAUCAACGUCACCUGCCAUGUCCGCAUCUGUGUAGCCGACAAGUACAGGAUUAGAAUCUCCAAAACAAAGGCAAAAUUUGGAGGUACCUCGAAGGUAUCUCAGAAUCCACUUCACAGCUGCCCAGUGUUCCUUUCCAGGAUUUGAAAGAAACCGACUGACAACUCCGACUGCGUGAGCAAUAUCCGGCCGUGUACACACCAUAGCGUACAUCAAACUUCCCCACCGCUGAAGCAUAUGGAAUACUUUUCAUCUCCGUCUUCUCUGCAUCAGUAGACGGGCACUGUUUGGUGCUAAGUUGAAAGUGAUUAGCAAGAGGACAACUAACCGCUUUUGCACCAUUCAUGCUGAAUUGUUGGAGUACUUUCUCAAUGUACUUCUCCUGCGACAACCAGAUCUUCUUGGCAACUCUAUCUCGUGCAAUCUUCAAGCCAAGAAUCUGCUUCGCGGGCCCCAAGUCUUUCAUAGCAAAAGACUUGCUCAACUCCUUCUUCAAGUUGUUGAUUCUGGAAACAUUCCGGCCAACAAUUAGCAUGUCGUCAACAUAGAGCAACAAGAUGAUGAAAUCAUCAUCACCAAACAUCUUCAUGAACACGCAAUGGUCUGAAGUAGUCUUCUUGUACCCUUGCUCCCCCAUAACAGACUCGAACUUCUUGUACCAUUGUCGUGGUGCCUGCUUCAAGCCGUACAAACUUUUGAUAAGUUUGCACACGAAAUCCUCUUUUCCCUUCUUCUUGAAGCCUUCCGGUUGCUCCAUAUAGAUAUCUUCCUCCAAAUCGCCAUGGAGGAAGGCAGUCUUCACGUCCAUCUGCUCAACUUCCAGGUUGAAACUUGACGCUAACCCCAGCACUGUACGAAUGGAUGUCAAUUUCACCACCGGUGAAAAUAUCUCAUCAAAGUCGAUGCCCUUCCUUUGACUGAAGCCUUUGACAACGAGCCGAGCUUUGAACCGUGGUUUACUAUUGUGUUCUUCAUGCUUGAUUUUGAACACCCACUUGUUCUUCAAAGCUCUCUUCCCCUUCGGCAACUUCACAAGCUCAAAUGUGUUGUUGUCGUAAAGGGACUUCAUCUCGUCCUCCAUUGCUUCCAUCCAUUUAUGCUUGUGUCCAUCCUUCAUAGCUUCCUCGAAGCUAUCUGGUUCUCCCCCAUCAGUGAAUAAGACAUAUUCAUUUGAUGAAUAUCUGGUAGAGGGUUGCACGACUCUUCCAGAUCUCGUUCGGGGCGGAGAACCUUCGGCGGCUGGCGGUUGAUAAUGAGAACCAUCAUCAUCAUUAGGAUCAUCAGGCUGAACAUCAAGGGGGGCUUCAGGUUCAGCUACCUCUGGAUGAAUUUCUCCAACAGCAGGUGUUGGAGGCUCUAACUUCUCGGGCAUUGUGCUAGCAUCAGUGUUAGGAGCAUCUCUCCCAACCUUCUGAAUGUCUUCGAUGGUCUCAUUCUCCAUGAACACAGCAUCACGACUCCUAAUGAGCUUCUUCUGGAUAGGGUCAAAGAAUCUGUAGCCAAAUUCAUCUUGACCAUAUCCAAUAAAAACACACGGUCGUGUCUUGGAAUCCAGUUUCGACCUCUCAUCCCUCGGAAUGUGAACAAAGGCCUUGCAACCAAACACUCGAAGAUGCUUGUACGAGACAUCUCUUCCCGACCAAAUCUUCUCGGGGGCUUCAAAAUCUAAUGGAACGCUAGGUGAAAGGUUCCAAACAUGCACUACGGCAAGUAGUGCUUCUCCCCAAAAAGAGUGCGGUAACUUCGAGUGGGAGAGUAAGCACCUGACUCUCUCCAUCAAGGUUUUGUUCAUCCGCUCCGCCACGCCAUUCAGUUGCGGAGUCUUAGGAGGUGUAAACUGAUGUCGGAUUCCCUUCUCUUUACAGUAGGCAUCGAAUGGCCCAAUGUACUCUCCACCAUUGUCUGUACGUAGACACUUCAGCUUCUGGCCAGUCUCCCUCUCCACCAAUGCAACAAAACGUUUGAAAACGUUUAGCACCUGAUCUUUCGUCUUCAGAACAUAUACCCAUGUCUUCCGCGAGUGAUCAUCAAUAAACGUAGCAAAGUAACGUGCGCCACCAAGGGAUUUGGAAUCCGCUUCACAAAGAUCUGAGUGAACCAAAUCUAGCACGUUCUUCGCUCUAGAAGGUGGAGAACUUCUGAAAGCAACUCGAUUUUGCUUUCCUGCCAAACAGUCGACGCAUCUCUCCAGGUGGACAUGAUCCAGUCCAGGUAUAACCUUCUUCUUUGCCAGCUUUACCAUGGACUUCUCGCUCAUGUGGCCAAGGCGUUUGUGCCACAACGCGACGUCGUCGACAAUCUCCGUUGAGUUUGCAACUUCUAGGGAGAUCUUGGCUUCUGUCACGUACAGUUUAGACUGCUUCUCGCCUCUUGCCACCACCAAUGCGCCUUUGGUGAGUUUCCAUUGACCGUUUUUGAAGGUAUGACAAUAACCUUCCCCGUCCAGCUUGUCCACAGAAAUCAGAUUUAGACGCAUGUCCGGGACAUGUCUAACAUCUCGCAGCACCAACUUCGCACCUUCCAUUGUCUCCAGGAAGACAUCUCCUUUUCCAACGACCUUGGAGAGGUUUCCAUUUCCCAUCCUUACCACACCGUAGUUGCCCGGUGAGUAAGAUGAGAAAAAUUCACGCCUUGACGAUACAUGGAUGGUGGCACCGCUGUCAACCACCCAAGUGGUCUCCUGGGUUGUCAGGUUGACAAAAUCUUCAUCAUAGACAAGCAUGAGCUCCUCAACAACAUUAGCAUUGUCACUGUCAGCACCUCUGUUUUGCCUAAGUUGUGGGCAAAACCUCCGGAUGUGUCCCUUCUGUUUGCAGUUGUGACAAGUGAUGUUUGCAUACUUGUUGGACUUCCCUCGGCUCUUCCCUCGCUUCUUUGAGCCUCUCGACUCACUCCUUCCUCUCCCAUCCACAGCUAGAACGUCUGACUGUGAUGAUGAGGAAGAGACACCUUGAGAUCUUCUUCUCAUCUCCUCGUUGAGAAUUCCGCUCUUGACAUCCUCCAUGGUGACAACACCAUCUAUGGCAGAGCUCGUGAUUGCAAUCUUCAAGGUUUCCCAUGAUUCUGCCAAAAUCAAUCCAAAUCUUUCAUCAACAGGAGAUCCUUCAUCUUGCUUCUCCAAAUAUGAAAGUUUGUACCGUUCAAACUAACCAUCUUGCUUGGCGUUGCCUCCAUAAUGAACCGUGCUCUGAUACCACUGUUGGGGCGCAGCGGACGAGAAUAGAGUAAAUAUAUUGCACUAAUAAACCACACACCGUAAAUAUUUCCCAGGCAAGUUGGAAGUGGCGGUAGUCCGCCACACUUAAAAUCACUAUGGAUGGGUGAUUACCACCGCAAUACCAUAAUGACGAUAAUUAAGCCAACCUCCUUAGACCAAUUUAUUGUGGUAAUAUUAAUAAUGCAAUAUACAACGAAUAUUCUCGAAAUUGCCAAGCACAAAACAGUAAGUAAAUAACACCGGGAUUUACGUAGUUCCCCUCCAAUGCGGAGAGUACAUCUACGGCAGCAGCGGCAGCUACGAGCACUUCUUCACUAUAACAAGGUAGCUACAAGGUGAUCUGAGCCGAUCCAAAAUAGUGUCUCUCAACUGUUUCCCAACCCCGAAACAACUACUCACUAUUUUAUCGCUCACAAGAAAGUAUUCCUACCACGGUAAAACAAUUAUCGGGGCUUUCUACCGCUCACCUAUCUACCCAAUUGAGAUAACUUAUCUCAAUUAUUAAAC